AGCUGUUUUGUUUUCAGCUGGCAGCAUGGAUGCACUCACACGGGAAGCGGUUCCUCUGACACGUGUGGUCACUGAGAGGUGGACCCUACGUUCGGCGGGCCCGCACCGCAGAUCAAAUGGAAGUUUAGGCUAUCGACUGCGCCCGUUGCGUGUCCCGUCUCCAUUCUCCCAAAAGCCCCUGGAAGUCCGUAACGGGAGUUUUUUUUUUUGAGACAAAUCCAAACGAGGGAGUGGAGAUGGGAGACGGCGGCGGUGGGCGGAAGGCGGCGCUGCUCCAGUGGUGCUCGUCGUCGCGGUGGGGCGUGAGCGGGCGGCGGCUGCUGAGUGGGGCGGGCGACGAGGCGUGGCGGGCGCACGCCGGGAUGGUCCUGGUCAUGCUCGCCUACAGCGGCUACCACGUCCUCACCAAGUCCGUCCUCAACGUCGGCAUGAACCAGGUCGUCUUCUGCGUCUACCGCGACCUGCUCGCGCUCGCCGUCCUCGCCCCCGUCGCCUUCCUCCGCGAGAGAAGGGUGAGGCCUCCCGUGACCCCCCAGUUACUCGCCUCCUUUGCUCUUCUUGGCUUCACAGGGCUCUAUGGGAACCCCCUCCUUUUCCUCGUCGGCCUCCGCUACACGAAUGCUUCCUACGCUGCGGCUUUCCAGCCCUCCAUACCAGUGUUCACAUUUGUCUUGGCUGCAAUUGUCGGCGUUGAAGCAAUCCACAUCUUCACGAAAGAUGGCAUCCUCAAAGUUCUUGGUACAGUUGUAUGUGUCUCUGGUGCCAUUCUGAUGGCUUUGUAUAGAGGUCCAGCCUUGAUUGGCUUGGGAGGCAACAGUACAUCGGGCACAUGCAGCAGCAAUCCCUAUCCAGCCCACUGGUUGACAUCAACCAUGUUUGAGUAUGGUGUAGAAACAUGGCAUCUUGGUGUCUUGUGUCUUUUAGGAAACUGCCUCUUGGUGGCUGCUUAUCUAAUCAUACAGGCUCCCGUGAUGAUAAGAUAUCCUGCAAGCUUAUCCUUGACAGCAUAUUCCUAUUUCUUUGCCACCAUCUUUAUGGUGUUAACUGGAGUACUUGUAACCAAUGGGCUCCAUGAGUGGGCACUGACAAAAACAGAGAUCGUAGCUGUUCUAUAUGCUGGAAUUGUUGCAUCUUGUCUGAGCUACGCAAUUAUGACAUGGGCAAACAAAAUUCUUGGACCUUCUCUAGUUGCUCUCUAUAAUCCACUCCAACCAGCAUGUUCCACUAUCCUCUCAACUAUUUUUCUUGGUGCCCCAGUUUAUGUCGGAAGGUUUGAUUCAACAAACUGCCAUAUAUAAUUUUGCCAAAAUAUGCUGUUAUUAUGUUAUUUUUCAAAUCUUUGUUCCUUGGAACCGGUAGCUCUUGCAUAUAUGUUUUUUAGUUGUAGCAUGAUAGUCUUUCAAGAGAAAUGAAGACAUUUGUGGGGCGUGGUGAAACAUGAUAGUGUAUUAUUGGGGGGCUGUUCAUAAUUGCUGGUCUAUACAUGGUUACUUGGGCUCGCUACAAUGAAGCACAACGAGCUAUGACCAAUGGUUAUUUGGACCCUCUUCUCGUGGGUCCUCUAGGAGUCCCCACGACACAGGAAGGUUCCUUCAUUGAUCCUUAAAUUUCAAUGGGGUAGAAUGGUGCCUCAAUUGUUUUCUCCAGGACAACAACAGAAGUCACAUGUACAGAUUUAUCUUGAAAGAUACGUUUGUAGUCUCAUAUACUCCCGUCCAAGAAUGGAAUUGUUGCAUCUUGUCUAAGCUACUCAAUUAUGACAUGGGCGAACAAAAUACUUGGACCUUCUCUAGUUGCUCUCCAUAAUCCGCUGCAACCAGCAUUUUCCACUAUCCUCUCAACUAUUUUUCUUGGUGACCCAGUUUAUGUCGGAAGGUUUGAUUCAAAACACUGACAUGUCUAAUUUGCCAAAAUUUGCUGUUCAAACAUUGUUAUGUGGUUAUUUGAAAAUUUUGGCAUGCAUGAUUUUUUUAGUUGUUGCACGAUACUCUUUCAAGUUUCAAGUGAUGUAAUCAUGUAACAACAUAUAUGGUGUCAGAGGAUCCCUCACCAGAUAAUCACCUACCUUAGGGCAUCCCUAGGUAAGCCGACGGUAAAAAUACCAACAGAUGGCGCC
Panicum hallii is the source of this 2116-nucleotide RNA transcript. It is a transcript of the gene named WAT1-related protein At3g45870-like, with no coding region annotated. NCBI's taxonomy places the organism in Eukaryota, Viridiplantae, Streptophyta, Magnoliopsida, Poales, Poaceae. The record is from RefSeq and is a predicted model, not a curated record. The transcript has 8 exons.